Molecule: ribosomal RNA, 781 nt
Filed under: uncultured Neocallimastigales
Lineage: Eukaryota; Fungi; Neocallimastigomycota; Neocallimastigomycetes; Neocallimastigales
Description: partial large subunit ribosomal RNA
Rfam family: Eukaryotic large subunit ribosomal RNA
Source: RNAcentral
AUAGAGACUCAGAGCUGCAUAUCAAUAAGGGAGGAAAAGAAACUAACUAGGAUUCCCCUAGUAACGGCGAGUGAAGCGGGAAGAGCUCAAAUUUGAAAUCUUAAAGGGUUUCCCUUUACGAAUUGUAGUUUAAAGAAGUGUUUUCUGUUAGUGGAGUUCGGUAAAAGUUCUUUGGAAUAGGACAUCAUAGAGGGUGAGAAUCCCGUAUUUGGAUCAGUUACUUUCUAGCUGUGUGAUACACUUUCAACGAGUCGGAUUGUUUGGGAAUGCAGUCCAAAAUGGGUGGUAAAUUUCAUCUAAAGCUAAAUAUUGGCGAGAGACCGAUAGCGAACAAGUACCGUGAGGGAAAGAUGAAAAGGAACUUUGAAAAGAGAGUUAAACAGUACGUGAAAUUGUCAAAAGGGAAGCGUUUGACACCAGUGUUGUUUUUUCCGAAAAUCAAUUACGAAUGUUUUGUUUUUGAAGAAGUUAUGACUUCAUCGGCUUGCUCCUUUCUUUACGAAACUUUCUUAAUGCACUUUUCGGUUAACAAGUCAACAUCAAUUUCUUUUGUUGUAAAAGGGUAUGAGGAAGGUGGCUUUCUUUUCGGAGAAAGUGUUUAUAGCCUUGUGCCUCUGCAAUCGGAGAGAUUGAGGUCUGCAGCGUAGAUCCUUCGGGGUUAGAUACGUUUGUGCUAAGUUAUAGCUUUUCAUAGACAACUUGUUGACUAUGUUUAGUCUUGUAGCUUACUCGCUGACGCUAUUUUACCUACGCUUAGGAUGUUGAUAGUCACAGCGUGUAC